AAGUCGUAACAAGGUUUCCGUAGGUGAACCUGCGGAAGGAUCAUUAAAAAUACCUAUAUCCAUAGGAUACCCUUGUGCACAAUAAUUGUAUCUGGUAGCUCAAAACACUUUGCUGUUGUUUGUCUCGGUUAGAGGAAUUAAAACUCCUUUUAUCGGGGGGCUACCAACGGGGAAACCCGACUAUAAACUCUUAUUAUAUUUUUUAAUGUCUUAACUUAAUAUAAAUUAAUAUAUUAACAACUUUUGACAACGGAUCUCUUGGCUCUC
This 267-nucleotide unclassified non-coding RNA is filed under the name fungal sp. RNAcentral's name for it is "partial internal transcribed spacer region". The stretch from base 1 to 46 matches the Rfam family "Eukaryotic small subunit ribosomal RNA", at positions 1786 to 1831 of the family's 1831-position model. Lineage: Eukaryota; Fungi. The record is from RNAcentral.